UCCUUUUGUUUGUUUAUUUAAGGUCUGACCUGCCCAAUGAGGAAUUGAAUGGCCGCAGUAUUCUAACUGUGCUAAGGUAGCAUAAUCAUUUGUCUUUUAAUUGAGGGCUGGAAUGAAGGGUUGGACGAGGUAUUGACUUUCUUUAAUUUAAUUUUAAGAAUUUAAUUUUUGAGUUAAAAAGCUUAAAUUUAUUUAUGGGACGAGAAGACCCUAUAGAUCUUUAUAGUUUUAUAUUUUGGUAAUCUAGGGAUUUAUUUGACUUAAGUAGAUUAACUAUUUUGUUGGGGUGACUGUAGAAUUUGAAUAACUUCUA
RNAcentral lists this ribosomal RNA (313 nucleotides) under Triatoma brasiliensis. RNAcentral describes it as "partial 16S ribosomal RNA". The record is from RNAcentral. Lineage: Eukaryota; Metazoa; Arthropoda; Insecta; Hemiptera; Reduviidae.